RNAcentral lists this ribosomal RNA (250 nucleotides) under uncultured bacterium. RNAcentral's name for it is "partial 16S ribosomal RNA". It matches the Rfam family "Bacterial small subunit ribosomal RNA", at positions 524 to 776 of the family's 1533-position model. The record is from RNAcentral.
UACGGGUAGCGCAAGUGUUAUUCCUCUUGAUUGGGCGUAGAGGGUGUGUAGGUGGCAUAAUAAGUUGGAAAUAAAAAACUAUGUUGAUCAAUUGACUUUUUCAAUACUGUUAUGCUUGAGUAAUAAUAAGAAUAGUGGAACUUCUUGCAUCAGAGUUAAAAUGCGUUUAUACAAGGGGGAACCCCAAAGGCGAAAGCAACUAUUCAAUUAUUUCUGACACUGAGACACGAAGGCAUGGGUAUCAAAUAGG